This 391-nucleotide ribosomal RNA is filed under the name uncultured bacterium. RNAcentral's name for it is "bacterial SSU rRNA". It matches the Rfam family "Bacterial small subunit ribosomal RNA", at positions 945 to 1359 of the family's 1533-position model. The record is from RNAcentral.
UUUAAUUCGAAGCAACGCGCAGAACCUUACCAACCCUUGACAUGGCAGGACCGCUGGAGAGAUUCAGCUUUCUCGUAAGAGACCUGCACACAGGUACUGCAUGGCUGUCGUCAGCUCGUGUCGUGAGAUGUUCGGUUAAGUCCGGCAACGAGCGCAACCCACGUCCCUAGUUGCCAGCAUUCAGUUGGGCACUCUAUGGAAACUGCCGAUGAUAAGUCGGAGGAAGGUGUGGAUGACGUCAAGUCCUCAUGGCCCUUACGGGUUGGGCUACACACGUGCUACAAUGGUGGUGACAGUGGGUUAAUCCCCAAAAGCCAUCUCAGUUCGGAUUGUCCUCUGCAACUCGAGGGCAUGAAGUUGGAAUCGCUAGUAAUCGCGGAACAGCAUGCCG